GACGAACGCUGGCGGCGUGCUUAACACAUGCAAGUCGAGCGGUAAGGCCCUUUCGGGGGUACACGAGCGGCGAACGGGUGAGUAACACGUGGGUGACCUGCCCUCAGCUCUGGGAUAAGCCUGGGAAACCGGGUCUAAUACUGGAUAUGACUCCAUGACGCAUGUUGUGGGGUGGAAAGCCUUGUGCGGCUGAGGAUGGGCCCGCGGCCUAUCAGCUUGUUGGUGGGGUGAUGGCCUACCAAGGCGACGACGGGUAGCCGGCCUGAGAGGGCGACCGGCCACACUGGGACUGAGACACGGCCCAGACUCCUACGGGAGGCAGCAGUGAGGAAUCUUGCGCAAUGGAACGAAAGUCUGACGCAGCGAUGCCGC
RNAcentral lists this ribosomal RNA (372 nucleotides) under uncultured bacterium. RNAcentral describes it as "bacterial SSU rRNA". It matches the Rfam family "Bacterial small subunit ribosomal RNA", at positions 28 to 400 of the family's 1533-position model. The record is from RNAcentral.